GUGACCUACUCUCACAUGGGGAUACCCCACACUACCAUUGGCGUAACAGCAUUUCACUUCUGAGUUCGGUAUGGAUUCAGGUGG
Molecule: ribosomal RNA, 84 nt
Filed under: Aggregatibacter actinomycetemcomitans serotype e str. SC1083
Lineage: Bacteria; Pseudomonadati; Pseudomonadota; Gammaproteobacteria; Pasteurellales; Pasteurellaceae
Source: RNAcentral